Molecule: long non-coding RNA, 1108 nt
Organism: Prionailurus viverrinus (fishing cat)
Lineage: Eukaryota; Metazoa; Chordata; Mammalia; Carnivora; Felidae
Exons: 4
Source: RefSeq, a predicted model, not a curated record
AAAUCCAAAUAAAUUCAGAAAAGUAUAAAGAAGUGGAAAAAAAUAAAAGCAACCUUAAAAUCUGACCUAAAGACAUUUGGGUAGGUUCCCGUCUGGGACCGUUAUGAAUAGCGCUGCUGUGAACAUUCUUCUGCACGUUUGUGGUGAAUAUAUAUGCACGUUCCUGUUGGUGCAGUCAUUUUAAUGAUUAUGAAGAACAAAACCAAGUCAGGAGUCUGCCUCCAGAAUUGGAAACAUCACCUCGGUCCCCAGUUCUGUUCACCUGUGAAUACUUUUACACCUGUACACAAUCUUACUGGAAGCAACAGAAGCUGUGCCAACCUUCCUCAAAGAAAGGACAAAGGAUCACUUUAGCUGUUUCUUCUUACUUUGAUCUAGACAAAUGCUUUUUGGGGAGCGUUUUCUUACACUGGCUUGAGCUAAUUACCCCAAAUUGGACUUAAAGAGUUUGCGCCUGCUUUUGGCUCUUUGGAUUACAGUCCGGACUCACAUCUUCAAACUGCCCCACUUCCCUGAGCUCAAGACCCACAUUUUCCACUGUGAGCUGAAUGUUGCCACCUGACGUUUCCACCUGAACGCCUUGUCCGUGCCUGACACUCAUCCAGGCUCUGCGAAUGCAGUGUGGUUGAGUCGAGGAAGAUGUUUCUGCUCUCCUGGAAUUCACCUAGAGUUGAGGAGACAUAGACCACAAACAAAUACGCAAACAAGAAAACUUCAGGUAGUGCCGAGAGCCUUGAUGAAAAGAAAACACAGAGAAGGGACAAGAAUAGAUGGCCACUUCAGGUGUGAGGUCAGUUCAAGAGGGCCUUUCUGAAGAGGUGAUGUCGAAACUAAGCAAGCCACGGGGGCAUUUGGGAGAAGAACAUUCCAGAAAUAAUAUUCUUUCAUUCAUUCAAAUAGAUGAAGGUGAUGUGGUUUGAAAAAAAAACUGAAAGUGAUUAGUAAGGCCGGAGCAUAACGAGCUUGUAGGAGAGUAAAAUUCACCAUCUUUCCUUCCAGCUGAACUUGACCCCUCCAUUUCUCUGACCUUUCAUUGAUGCUAUGGGUGUCCUGGAAGUCCUGUCAGGAACCCUUAUAGGCCCUCAUCCAGCUAAUCACAAAGCCUCGA